Molecule: ribosomal RNA, 548 nt
Filed under: Indothais javanica
Lineage: Eukaryota; Metazoa; Mollusca; Gastropoda; Neogastropoda; Muricidae
Description: partial 16S ribosomal RNA
Rfam family: Bacterial large subunit ribosomal RNA
Source: RNAcentral
ACCUGCUCGGUGAGUAUAUUUUAACAGCCGCGGUACUCUGACCGUGCAAAGGUAGCAUAAUCAUUUGCCUUAUAAUUGAAGGCUAGUAUGAAUGGUUUGACGAGAAUUAAGCUGUCUCUUUUUAACUAAAUAUAACUUUAUUAAGAGGUGAAGAAGCCUGUAUUUUAUUGAAAGACAAGAAGACCCUAUCGAGCUUUAAAGAAUUUAGUAGAUUUACCAUAUAUUAAUAAAAAAGUAAAGCAACUAAAUAUUUUGGUUGGGGCGACUGAGGAACAAACAAAGCUUCCUUUAUGCUAAUUAAAACUUACAAGUAUUGAUCCAAUUUAUUUGAUUAAAGAAAUUAGUUACCGUAGGGAUAACAGCAUAAUCUCCUUUGAGAGUUCUCAUCGAAAAGGGGGUUUGUGACCUCGAUGUUGGACCAGAAUACCCAGAAGAUGCAGCCGUCUUCAAUGGUUGGUCUGUUCGACCAUUAAAAUUCUACGUGAUCUGAGUUCAGACCGGCGUGAGCCAGGUCAGUUUCUAUCUUCAAUUUCUAUAGUGGCCUUAGU